Molecule: ribosomal RNA, 467 nt
Filed under: uncultured bacterium
Lineage: Bacteria
Description: partial 16S ribosomal RNA
Rfam family: Bacterial small subunit ribosomal RNA
Source: RNAcentral
ACGAACGCUGGCGGCGUGCUUAACACAUGCAAGUCGCACGGAAAGGCCCUGCUUUUGUGGGGUGCUCGAGUGGCGAACGGGUGAGUAACACGUGAGUAACCUGCCCUUGACUUUGGGAUAACUUCAGGAAACUGGGGCUAAUACCGGAUAGGAGCUCCUGCUGCAUGGUGGGGGUUGGAAAGUUUCGGCGGUUGGGGAUGGACUCGCGGCUUAUCAGCUUGUUGGUGGGGUAGUGGCUUACCAAGGCUUUGACGGGUAGCCGGCCUGAGAGGGUGACCGGCCACAUUGGGACUGAGAUACGGCCCAGACUGCUACGGUAGGCAGCAGUGGGGAAUAUUGCACAAUGGGCGGAAGCCUGAGGCAGCAACGCCGCGUGCGGGAUGACGGCCUUCGGGUUGUAAACCGCUUUCGCCUGUGACGAAGCGUGAGUGACGGUAAUGGGUAAAGAAGCACCGGCUAACUACGUG